GACGUAGGGCGCGAGCGUUGUCCGGAUUUAUUGGGCGUAAAGAGCUCGUAGGCGGCUCGUUGCGUCGGCUGUGAAAACCCGCAGCUCAACUGUGGGCUUGCAGCCGAUACGGGCGGGCUGGAGUUCGGUAGGGGAGAUCGGAAUUCCUGGUGUAGCGGUGAAAUGCGCAGAUAUCAGGAGGAACACCGGUGGCGAAGGCGCUGCUCUGGGCCGGUACUGACGCUGAGGAGCGAAAGCGUGGGUAGCAAACAGG
This 253-nucleotide ribosomal RNA is filed under the name uncultured bacterium. Its description in RNAcentral is "partial 16S ribosomal RNA". It matches the Rfam family "Bacterial small subunit ribosomal RNA", at positions 524 to 776 of the family's 1533-position model. The record is from RNAcentral.